GAUGAACGCUGGCGGCGUGCCUAAUACAUGCAAGUCGAGCGGAAGGACGAGAAGCUUGCUUCUCUGAUGUUAGCGGCGGACGGGUGAGUAACACGUGGAUAACCUACCUAUAAGACUGGGAUAACUUCGGGAAACCGGCGCUAAUACCGGAUAAUAUUUUGAACCGCAUGGUUCAAAAGUGAAAGACGGUCUUGCUGUCACUUAUAGAUGGAUCCGCGCUGCAUUAGCUAGUUGGUAAGGUAACGGCUUACCAAGGGAACGAUGCAUAGCCGACCUGAGAGAGUGGUCGGCCACCCGGGAGCUGGGACGCGGUCCAGACUCCUACGGGAGGCAGCAGUAUGGAAUCUGCCGCAGUGGGCGGAAGCCUGACGGAGCAACGCCGCGUGAGUGAUGGAGGUCUUCGGAUCGUAAAACUCUGUUAUUAGGGAAGAACAUAUGUGUAAGUAACUGUGCACAUCUUGACGGUAACGAGUCAGAAAGCCACGGCUAACUACGUG
This 497-nucleotide ribosomal RNA is filed under the name uncultured bacterium. Its description in RNAcentral is "partial 16S ribosomal RNA". It matches the Rfam family "Bacterial small subunit ribosomal RNA", at positions 28 to 507 of the family's 1533-position model. The record is from RNAcentral.